GGCACCAUCAGACAUCGCCUACCAAGAGCCUGGGUCUGUCCCAGUUUUCUCCCUAAAACAAAGUUUUUCCUCGCCACUGUCACACUAAAUACUUGCUCUUGGGGGUAUUACUGGAAUUGUUGCGUCUUUGUAAAUUAUAUAGUGUGGUCUAGACCUACUCUAUCUGUAAAGUGUCUUGAUAUAACACUUGUUAUGAUUUGAUAAUAUAAAUAACAUUGAAUUUAA
Long non-coding RNA from Sander lucioperca (pikeperch), 225 nucleotides. RefSeq lists it as uncharacterized. NCBI's taxonomy places the organism in Eukaryota, Metazoa, Chordata, Actinopteri, Perciformes, Percidae. The transcript has 2 exons. The record is from RefSeq and is a predicted model, not a curated record.